This 199-nucleotide ribosomal RNA is filed under the name uncultured bacterium. Its description in RNAcentral is "partial 16S ribosomal RNA". It matches the Rfam family "Bacterial small subunit ribosomal RNA", at positions 328 to 539 of the family's 1533-position model. The record is from RNAcentral.
ACGCUCGACACCUACGGGAGGUAGCAGUCGGGAAUAUUGCGCAAUGGAGGAAACUCUGACGCAGUGACGCCGCGUAUAGGAAGAAGGUUUUCGGAUUGUAAACUAUUGUCGUUAGGGAAGAAAAAAGACAGUACCUAAGGAGGAAGCUCCGGCUAACUACGUGCCAGUAGCCGCGGUAAUCUGAGCGGGCUGGCAAGGC